RNAcentral lists this ribosomal RNA (460 nucleotides) under uncultured bacterium. RNAcentral describes it as "partial 16S ribosomal RNA". It matches the Rfam family "Bacterial small subunit ribosomal RNA", at positions 338 to 795 of the family's 1533-position model. The record is from RNAcentral.
CCUACGGGGAGCAGCAGUGAGGAAUAUUGGUCAAUGGACGAGAGUCUGAACCAGCCAAGUAGCGUGAAGGAUGACUGCCCUAUGGGUUGUAAACUUCUUUUAUAAAGGAAUAAAACGAGGCACGUGUGCCCUUUUGCAUGUACUUUAUGAAUAAGGAUCGGCUAACUCCGUGCCAGCAGCCGCGGUAAUACGGAGGAUCCGAGCGUUAUCCGGAUUUAUUGGGUUUAAAGGGAGCGUAGAUGGGUUGUUAAGUCAGUUGUGAAAGUUUGCGGCUCAACCGUAAAAUUGCAAUUGAUACUGGCAGUCUUGAGUACAGUUGAGGUAGGCGGAAUUCGUGGUGUAGCGGUGAAAUGCUUAGAUAUCACGAAGAACCCCGAUUGCGAAGGCAGCUUACUAAACUGUGACUGACAUUGAUGCUCGAAAGUGUAGGUAUCAAACAGGAUUAGAUACCCCAGUAGUC